GUAUUUUUGCAUGUUUACUGGACAAUUCUAUGUACAAUAAAAAUUUUUUGUUUUUGUUUUUGGUUUUUUUUUAUUGGUUGUUCAAAACAUUACAUAACUCAUGACAUAUCAUCUUUCAUACAUUUGAUUCAAGUGGGUUAUGAACUCCCAUUUUUACCCCAAAUACAAGUUGCAGAAUCACAUCGGUUACACAUCCACAUUUUUCCGUAAUGCCAUAUUAGUGACUGUUGUAUUCUGCUACGUUUCCUAUCCCCUACUAUCCCCCCUCCCCUUCCCUCCCCUCUUCCCUCUGUACCCCAUCAGCUGUUGUUCAAUGUUCUCCCUUGGUUUUUUUUUUCCCCCUUUCCCCUCUCCAUCUCUUAUAUGUAAUGAUGUGUAACAAUGAGGGUCUCCUUCCAUUUCCAUACAGUUUCCCUUCUCUCUUCCUUUCCCUCCCACCACUUAUCUCUGUUUAAUGUUAGUCUAUUCCAUCACCUUUUUUUUUAAUCAUAAAUUUUUAUAGGAAUGUGUUUAGCUCUCUCUUGCUGCACAGUCUCAAAGACUGGAGAAUGUGGAAGAUUGAGCCUCUGUGGGACUGGAUGUGUCUGACACUGGAAUCUAUCAUCAACUGAAGCUUUGGGUCCUCUACCUCUUCAGCCUCAAAAUCCACAAACCUGACAGGUAAGCAAGACAAAGGAUUAUUUGAAAAAAGAUUUCUUAUUGGAAAACUCAAGCUGUAGCUUCAUAGCAAUGAGGAUCUGGUAGCAGGCAUGGGGAGUAGUGCUCAGACCAUGGGCUGGGCUGGUCCCAGGAGGGAUCAGUUCCCAAUGUAGAAACUAUUCUGAGUGCUUCUGACAUCACUUAGCACCUGAAGAGAACCAUGUGGUCCUUAGUGAACCAGGCACAUUCCUUUAAGAUCCUCCCACACUUAUUCCAGGCUUCUCAUGUCCCUGCCCUGAACCACACAGAAAAGCCAAGCAUCAGCAUCUGGUCAAAGAUAUGAUUUAUGUAAGACAACUUUCUCUCUGAAUGCUGGGGUUAGGACUAUAUACCAUAGAUGAAAGACCAAGAACACAAGACUCAGGAGAGGUCAUGCGAAAGUCCAAGCUGUGCUGAAAGUAGUGGAACACUGGGUUCCCACCCCAACCCACCUUCCAAAGAGGGCUGUAUUUCAUUUGUUUGAAUGGCGAGAGUUACAUGGAUUACGAGGCCAGAGGUGUGUGCUUGGGGCAUCUGAGACACUGGCGUUCCCUGAUCAUGUUUUUUGAACUCUAAAUCUUUCUGAAACAUCAGGGUGUUAUUGUGGCAUUGUUCAUGAGCAGGGGUGAUCCAUAUGCUAGAAGAUGCUUUAUUUUCCAGGUGGUUGGCCAACCCCAAGGUAGUGAAACUUGUACCCUGUGAACAGACCUCACUGAUGGUGGACACCCCAUGAGCUUGGCUGGUUACUGCCCUACACCCUAACCCUGAACCUCUAGGCAGUGGUGGAACUAAGAACGUUGAGGUCAGAGCUUCUGGGACUAUUAGAGAGUGUCCAGCACUCCAGGUAGAGGGAAGUAAUGCUUGGAGAUGUAAGGGUUCAGUGGUUUUCUCUGUGGUAGCAGAUGCCUUCCUGGCUGGGUGAGAAACUCCAACAGAGCCAGCUGUUCAACCCAUGUUCCCUAGCACUUAGGCCUAGCCCCAGAUAUCUGACACACUUUUCUGCCAUCUCAUAGAUCAUCUGAUCAAAGGUAUGCAUUGACAUUCCUGAAGACCCCUCCACAAUCCCUCCUCCAGAGUCAUGGUAGGCUCCAGUCCAGAUAGGGGCCAAAGCACUGGCCUGGGUUCAUCAGGAUCAGUCACAAUCCACAACCCACACUUCAUUGCAAGUUGACCUGACCCAACACAGGCCUUGCCUUUGCCUCUUCUGUCCAGUCACUUUGACUACCCCAUGUGGGCUCCCUGCAUCCAGGACAUGCUCUAUAUACUAGAGAGAACAUCAAGUACCAUACUGGAAUCUGAUUUCUCUUGAGUUCUUGAUGUUUUUGUGUAUUGUGACCUGAAAGUUUUGGCCUGCAGAAUGCAUGAGUGAAUGCCCUAACCUCCAUGAGAUGGUGGCUUCAGUGGCUCUUAGUAUUUUAAUGAUGUCAUCAGGGUAGAGUUCCCAUGAUAGUACUAGUGCCCUUCUAGAAAAAAGAAGGGAUGCUAAAGCUCUCUUAACCAUAGGAGGUCACAGGCAAGGUAGCCAUUGUCUCAAGCCUGGAGGGAAGAACUCGCUGUCCACACCAUCUUUCUGCAGCUUCCCAAAUUCGGAACUGUGAGAGAUGAAUGCCUGUGGUUUCAGCUUCUCAUUCUGUAGCAGUACAUAUGGCAGCCUUAUUUGAGUGAGACAGAAUACAGAGUGCCCUGGGACCAGGGUUAAAGCCUGAGACAAUGAUGUACAUCUCCACUGAGGAUCCAAAUGGAAUGAGUACUCAUUCAUGAAUUCUGCACCACCUCAAUAUCCUAAAUAGAAAUUCCUUGGAACAAUGUGGUUGGGUGUCCAGAGAGAUCUAUUCUGGUGCCUCCCCCCGUAUCUCCAACACUAGUUGUGAUGUUGCCUGCCAUGAACAAUCAGAUCUAUGCUAGAAGGUGAAAAUACUAAGUGAGGGACAAUCAUGUGGAGUCAGAGAACCAAUUCUAAAUCCUGGCUCACAUUACUUCCAGGAACCUCCUGUGACCUUACAUCCCCUGAGUGAUGGUGAUGCUCAUUGAGCACUAAGAUUGCUGCACUCACAGGGUUGUGAUGGGCACCUGAGAUAAGGCCCAUUUCCUUCCCUGGUGUGAUGAACUUGGUUGGGAAUGUAGGUCUCUCAGCUUAUCCCUCCACCCUCAGGAUGUUCCCUCUAGUUUUCCUACAUCCAGCCUCCUUUCUCCAUGCCACACUUUUCCAUCCAUCCCCACUGUCCAGCAUCACUCAGUAGAGGAGAACGAAGCUGUCUUCAGAAACACUAUUUCCAGGCUUACUUCUAGAAACCUGAUUAAUGUCAGAGGGGCCUGAAGGCUCAAAAGCAGGUCUCUAUCCAACUAAGACAGGAGGGCUCAAAGUUGUCAAUAGGUACUUGAUAAAAAUUUGUGACCCUGAUUCUGAUGGCAUGGAACCUGGGUCCUAUGAAGAACCAUGGAGUUUGAUUGCACAUGACAGACCACAAACAACCUCACUUCCAAUUACUUUUGUGCAUGUCUGAAGUCACCCCAUUACUUUAUCUCACAAAUGACACUAAAAUUUGGCCUCCUUGCUAUUUAAGUAUUCUCCUUGGUAAACUUCCACAUUUUGUUGAUUGGCAAACCAUGUGAUGUGUAGCUUUCUUUUUUCCUCAUUGAUUUGUAGGAGAACUUGAUUACAUUACAUUUGGGCCAGCCACACUCAGUAUAGGUCAGGCUGGGAUUGGGGUGG
RNAcentral lists this long non-coding RNA (3391 nucleotides) under Marmota monax (woodchuck). Lineage: Eukaryota; Metazoa; Chordata; Mammalia; Rodentia; Sciuridae. The record is from RNAcentral.